UAGUAACGCGUAAAGAACUUGCCCUUUAGACUGGGAUAACAGAGGGAAACUUCUGAUAAUACUGGAUAAGUUAGUAUAUCGCAUGAUAUGCAAAUGAAAGCUACGGCACUAAAGGAGAGCUUUGCGUCCUAUUAGCUAGUUGGUAAGGUAAGAGCUUACCAAGGCGAUGAUAGGUAGCCGGCCUGAGAGGGUGGACGGCCACAAGGGGACUGAGAUACGGCCCUUACUCCUACGGGAGGCAGCAGCU
This 247-nucleotide ribosomal RNA is filed under the name uncultured Leptotrichia sp. RNAcentral's name for it is "partial 16S ribosomal RNA". It matches the Rfam family "Bacterial small subunit ribosomal RNA", at positions 108 to 355 of the family's 1533-position model. Lineage: Bacteria; Fusobacteriati; Fusobacteriota; Fusobacteriia; Fusobacteriales; Leptotrichiaceae. The record is from RNAcentral.